UAAUAGCGAAUGUUAAUGUUGUUGCAGUUAAAAAGCUCGUAGUUGGAUUUCUUAAAUCAUUGACGAUUAUUAUGAAACUUUCAUAAUGAAUCUCGUGAUUUAUAAACUUUGCAGUUUCGGUUAAGCGCGCAUUAAGUUGUGUGUUUAAACGAGCUGCUCUUUUACUUUGAAUAAAAUGGAGAGUUCAAAUCAGGCAAAUCUUUUAGCCAUUGAACAAUUUAGCAUGGGACAAUGGAAUAGGAUUUUUUUCUUAUUUUGUUGGUUUUGAAGAGAAAAAUAAUGAUUAAAAGGAGCAGUUGGGGGUAUUGGUAUUUUCGAGUCAGAGGUGAAAUUCUUGGAUUUCGAAAAGACCAACUUCUGCGAAAGCAUUUACCAAGGAUGUUUUCAUUAA
RNAcentral lists this ribosomal RNA (391 nucleotides) under uncultured eukaryote. RNAcentral describes it as "partial 18S ribosomal RNA". It matches the Rfam family "Eukaryotic small subunit ribosomal RNA", at positions 592 to 976 of the family's 1831-position model. The record is from RNAcentral.